This 1315-nucleotide long non-coding RNA is filed under the name Equus caballus (horse). RNAcentral's name for it is "lncRNA (ENSECAG00000058820.1)". The record is from RNAcentral. Lineage: Eukaryota; Metazoa; Chordata; Mammalia; Perissodactyla; Equidae.
UGUUUAUUUGGAGGAAAUUGCAGGCGUCUGCUUUGUCUCUCAUAUCAUUUUGAGUCUGUUUCCGCCAACUCUCUCCAAGGCCAGGGCUCUUCGACUUCUACGGGCCAAACCCUGCCUAGGAUCCACUAGUUUCUGAACUUUUUCUAAUGUAGUCAUAGUGAGACCGGGCUGUUGUUUCUAACUUCAUGUUUUGCAAGAUUCAUAAAAUUGGGAAGAUUCUAUCUUUUUCUGCAUGGUGGCGUACUUAAUUUUUUAAAACUGGUGUUGGCUGUUUCUUACGAGUUUCCUAGAAGUCAGUAGCGCGUAGUGGUUAGGAGGUUGGCCUUUUGGAAUCAGUGAGCUCACAUCCCAGCUCAGUUAUUUUAGUACUGUUUGGUCUUGGGGCAGUUACUUGAAAACUGGGCAUAGUAAUACUCUCAACAACUUUGUAGGGUUGUUGUGAACAUUACAUGAGUUAGGGAGUGUAAAGCUUGACACAGUGCACUUCAGUGAAUGUUAGCUGUUAGCAUAUCUUGGUUGUUGGUUUCCGAAGUUUUUCUGUUGUUCCUUAAGUCAAUUUUUAUAGUUCACAUACAGAAAACAAUGCAUUUUUUUCCUUUCAAGGUUAGAAUUUUUCUGGAACAAAAUUAGACAUUUAAAAACUAUUUUUCUAAGGUGAUAGUUUCUCAUUCCAUAUGUGCAUAUGUGUAAUUUUCCUUUUUUCUUUUGCAAGCAGGUUGUCUCUGUGGUCUCUUUAACAGGCAAAAAUGUAGUCUAGAACAGUGAACUGGAAAUAAACGGUGUAGUGAUUUCUAAAUAGAGUGGAUAGAUGUUAAUGAGGUACCUGUGGAGAAUAGUGCCAGAGUCCCUCCUUUGGGAAGAUCUGGGUGUUAACAGCAGGCCUUGCUUCGGGAUACACAGCAUCUGUGUGUCUCAGCCCUUGGAAGUCUGCAGGUGCCAGGAGAGCUCUGGGCAGUGAGCUUGCUGUGUCAGGAAAUAGUAUAGGCUCCUGACCACAAGGCGUCCGUCGUUUUUCAGAUUCGUGUUCCUCUAGCCAUAGUUUCUUUACUAGGAAUUUUAAGCUAGUUAAAUAUUCCCAUGUGUCUCACUCAUACCACCUUUUUUAGGUUAGACAGGCAACCAACAUCUAAGUUUUCUUUAAAACAACACUAAUAAAUCUUGUAGUACUAGGUGGAGAGCAUAAUAUACUUUUAUAAACAUGUCUGUUUACACUUACCUCUUGCACAGUUCACUUUUCCUUAAUAAAAAUAUGAUUAAAUCACUCUUAGAAAAUGACUUCAGAGUUACAGUACCAAUAGAACUACCAACUGGGAAC